Molecule: small nuclear RNA, 20 nt
Filed under: Arabidopsis thaliana (thale cress)
Lineage: Eukaryota; Viridiplantae; Streptophyta; Magnoliopsida; Brassicales; Brassicaceae
Description: snRNA_05065
Source: RNAcentral
GAGGAAAUCGCAGACAGGGU